AGCGAACGCUGGCGGCAGGCUUAACACAUGCAAGUCGAACGGGCAUCUUCGGAUGUCAGCGGCAGACGGGUGAGUAACACGUGGGAACGUACCCUUCGGUUCGGAACAACUCUGGGAAACUGGAGCUAAUACCGGAUACGCCUUUAUGGGGAAAGGUUUACUGCCGAAGGAUCGGCCCGCGUCUGAUUAGCUAGUUGGUGGGGUAACGGCCUACCAAGGCGACGAUCAGUAGCUGGUCUGAGAGGAUGAUCAGCCACACUGGGACUGAGACACGGCCCAGACUCCUACGGGAGGCAGCAGUGGGGAAUAUUGGACAAUGGGCGCAAGCCUGAUCCAGCCAUGCCGCGUGAGUGAUGAAGGCCUUAGGGUUGUAAAGCUCUUUUGUCCGGGACGAUAAUGACGGUACCGGAAGAAUAAGCCCCGGCUAACUUCGUG
Molecule: ribosomal RNA, 435 nt
Filed under: uncultured bacterium
Lineage: Bacteria
Description: partial 16S ribosomal RNA
Rfam family: Bacterial small subunit ribosomal RNA
Source: RNAcentral